CCUACGGUGUGCAGCAGUGGGGAAUAUUGGGCAAUGGGCGCAAGCCUGACCCAGCAACGCCUCGUGAAGGAAGAAGGCUUUCGGGUCGUACACUUCUAUUGACAGGGAAGAGCAGAAGACGGUACCUGUCGAAUAAGCCACGGCUAACUACUUGCCAGCAGCCGCGGUAAUACGUAGGUGGCAAGCGUUGUCCGGAUUUAAUGGGUGUAAAGGGCGUGUAGCCGGGCUGACAAGUCAGAUGUGAAUUCCUGGCGCUCAACCCUCGAACUGCAAUUGAAACUGUGGGUCUUGAGUAUCGGAGAGGCAGGUGGAAUUCCUGGUGUAGCGGUGAAAGGCGUAGAUAUUAGGAGGAACACCAGUGGCGAAGGCGGCCUGCUGGACGACAACUGACGUUGAGGCGCGAAAGCGUGGGGAGCAAACAGGAUUAGAUACCCGUGUAGUC
RNAcentral lists this ribosomal RNA (442 nucleotides) under uncultured bacterium. RNAcentral describes it as "partial 16S ribosomal RNA". It matches the Rfam family "Bacterial small subunit ribosomal RNA", at positions 338 to 795 of the family's 1533-position model. The record is from RNAcentral.